AAGAUGGCGACCGGCGCACGGGUGAGUAACACGUAUCCAACCUGCCGAUAACUCCGGGAUAGCCUUUCGAAAGAAAGAUUAAUACCGGAUGGCAUACGAAUAUCGCAUGAUAUUUUUAUUAAAGAAUUCGGUUAUCGAUGGGGAUGCGUUCCAUUAGUUUGUUGGCGGGGUAACGGCCCACCAAGACUACGAUGGAUAGGGGUUCUGAGAGGAAGGUCCCCCACAUUGGAACUGAGACACGGUCCAA
RNAcentral lists this ribosomal RNA (247 nucleotides) under uncultured bacterium. RNAcentral describes it as "partial 16S ribosomal RNA". It matches the Rfam family "Bacterial small subunit ribosomal RNA", at positions 85 to 334 of the family's 1533-position model. The record is from RNAcentral.